Molecule: ribosomal RNA, 446 nt
Filed under: uncultured bacterium
Lineage: Bacteria
Description: SSU rRNA
Rfam family: Bacterial small subunit ribosomal RNA
Source: RNAcentral
AGAGCGAACGCUGGCGGCAGGCCUAAUACAUGCAAGUCGAACGGAUCCUUCGGGAUUAGUGGCGGACGGGUGAGUAACACGUGGGAACGUGCCCUUUGGUUCGGAACAACUCAGGGAAACUUGAGCUAAUACCGGAUGUGCCCUUCGGGGGAAAGAUUUAUCGCCAUUGGAGCGGCCCGCGUCUGAUUAGCUAGUUGGUAGGGUAAAGGCCUACCAAGGCUUCGAUCAGUAGCUGGUCUGAGAGGAUGAUCAGCCACACUGGGACUGAGACACGGCCCAGACUCCUACGGGAGGCAGCAGUAGGGAAUCUUGCGCAAUGGGCGAAAGCCUGACGCAGCCAUGCCGCGUGAAUGAUGAAGGUCUUAGGAUUGUAAAAUUCUUUCAGCGGGGACGAUAAUGACGGUACCCGCAGAAGAAGCCCCGGCUAACUUCGUGCCAGCAGCCGC